AUUGAACGCUGGCGGCAUGCCUUACACAUGCAAGUCGAACGGCAGCACGGGAGCAAUCCUGGUGGCGAGUGGCGAACGGGUGAGUAAUAUAUCGGAACGUGCCCAGUCGUGGGGAUAACGUAGAGAAAUUUACGCUAAUACCGCAUACGAUCUAAGGAUGAAAGCGGGGGACCGUAAGGCCUCGCACGAUUGGAGCGGCUGAUAUCAGAUUAGGUUGUUGGUGAGGUAAAAGCUCACCAAGCCGACGAUCUGUAGCUGGUUUGAGAGAACGACCAGCCACACUGGGACUGAGACACGGCCCAGACUCCUACGGGAGGCAGCAGUGGGGAAUUUUGGACAAUGGGCGCAAGCCUGAUCCAGCAAUGCCGCGUGCAGGAUGAAGGCCUUCGG
Molecule: ribosomal RNA, 390 nt
Filed under: uncultured bacterium
Lineage: Bacteria
Description: bacterial SSU rRNA
Rfam family: Bacterial small subunit ribosomal RNA
Source: RNAcentral